RNAcentral lists this ribosomal RNA (253 nucleotides) under uncultured bacterium. Its description in RNAcentral is "partial 16S ribosomal RNA". It matches the Rfam family "Bacterial small subunit ribosomal RNA", at positions 524 to 776 of the family's 1533-position model. The record is from RNAcentral.
AACGUAGGACACGAGCGUUAUCCGGAUUUACUGGGCGUAAAGGGCGCGUAGGUGGUGCGAUAAGACUGGUGUGAAAGCCUUCGGCUUAACCGAGGGAGGACACUGGUGACUGUCGGACUUGAGGCAGAUAGAGGGGUGUAGAAUUCCGGGUGUAGUGGUGAAAUGCGUAGAGAUCCGGAGGAAUACCAGAGGCGAAGGCGACACGCUGGGUCAUACCUGACGCUAAAACGCGACAGCAUGGGGAGCGAACGGG